AUGUCGGCUCAUCGCAUCCUGGGGCUGAAGUAGGUCCCAAGGGUUGGGCUGUUCGCCCAUUAAAGCGGUACGCGAGCUGGGUUCAGAACGUCGUGAGACAGUUCGGUCCCUAUCCGGCGCGGGCGUAGGAUAUUUGAGAGGAGCUGCCCUUAGUACGAGAGGACCGGGGUGGACUGGCCUCUGGUGUAUCUGUUGAACUAUCAAGUUCAUGGCAGAGUAGCCAAGCCGGGACGGGAUAAACGCUGAAGGCAUCUAAGCGUGAAGCCCCCCUCAAGAUGAGAUAUCCCAUACGCAAGUAGUAAGACCCCUUGAAGACGACGAGGUAGAUAGGGCAGAGGUGGAAGCGUAGUAAUACGUGAAGCUGACUGUUACUAAUCGGUCGAGGGCUUGACCUG
Molecule: ribosomal RNA, 395 nt
Filed under: Gemmiger sp.
Lineage: Bacteria; Bacillati; Bacillota; Clostridia; Eubacteriales; Oscillospiraceae
Description: partial 23S ribosomal RNA
Rfam family: Bacterial large subunit ribosomal RNA
Source: RNAcentral